Fopius arisanus is the source of this 1412-nucleotide RNA transcript. It is a transcript of the gene named androgen-induced gene 1 protein-like, with no coding region annotated. The record is from RefSeq and is a predicted model, not a curated record. NCBI's taxonomy places the organism in Eukaryota, Metazoa, Arthropoda, Insecta, Hymenoptera, Braconidae. The transcript is spliced from 6 exons.
GUUCAGUAAGUCAAGUCUAUUCACUCGAGUCACGUCAAUACUCCCAAAGCUCUUCCAUUUUCCAUGAAAAGCGCGAAAUUUCCCCGGUGAAAGCUCGAGAUAACGAGCAGUGAAAUAAUCGAAUAAUCGGGGAUAUGAGGGAGUAUCUGCUGAUUGGAUUUCACGUAAUUGCCUGUGCGCAAUUUGCAUUUUCUGUUUAUUAUGACUUCACAUUCACUGAUGUACCAGGAAAUGUCGUCAAGAUGCACGGGGCAUACGGUGGGAAAUUCAAAUUCCUCACUGUCUGGGAUGUGAUAGCCCAGACAGUCUUCUUCUUCCUCUGCAUUUUGAAUGAUCUUUAUGGGUCAAACAAAGUUAUACCGAAGAGAACUCCAGCUUUGAGGCGGAUCAAGGAUUAUUUCCACGCCGCGUUCGGCUUUCCUCUUGCCAUGUUCGUAGGCGUCGUGUUCUGGAGCCUGAUGUUCGUUGACCGUGAAUUGGUGCUACCAAAAGCUCUCGAUCCUUAUUUCCCAUGGUGGCUGAAUCAUCUGAUGCAUACGAUGGUUGUGGUUUCAACAGUUAUUGAAAUGCUUGUCGCACCGAGACAAUACCCAAAGAGGUCAUACGGUUUCGGUGGUCUCGCACUUGUCAUGCUGUCGUAUUUAGUCUGGAUUCACUUUAUUUACUACAAGUCCGGCAUUUGGGUGUAUCCAGUGAUGGAGGUCCUCUCAUUGCCCAUGAGGAUUGUCUUCCUGCUCGCUCUUCUCUUCUUCUGCAGUCUUCUGUAUCUCGCUGGCGAGGGUUUUGAUCAUCUUCUCUGGGGUAACGAACAUUCUAAACAACUCAAAAGCCACUCGAAACACAAGUAGCCACGCCAGUUGUCACCGAAGGGUGAUGCCAACGUGUGCUCUAUUGUCAUCGGUGGUGGUUCUGGUGGUGGUACUAUCAAAAGAACAUCCAGUAAGACUAGUAAGAAGAAGAAAACCAAGUAAUUAAGUUCAUUGGCUAGUCCAAGCUUCAAAUCAAUUGUCAAAUCCAUCAAUUUCUUAUUUUUUGUAACCAUUUUUCAUUGUAAUGUUAAACUAAAGAGAUUGUCUAAUGGAAUAAUAAUGUGAACAGUAGAGAAUAUCGGUUAUAUGAUAAAUAAUAUAGAUAUCUAAUAGGAAAUUAGGGGAAUUGUUGCCUUAGAGUAAAAAAUGUGUUCACUGUGUAAUAAAGAGGAGAGUGUGAUGAUUUUCUACUUAAUAGAAGUCUUACUGUGCCUAAGAGAGUGCUGCCAUCAUCUUUUACUGUGACCCAGAGCUGGGGAGAUCAAUUAAUUAAUUAAUUAACAAUAAUCUCCGAUUAUUUAAAAUAGCAAUGUGUCAAUUUUACAAACUAGUGCCCAGCUCUGUAGAACAUUGAAAAUAGUACAAAAAUUAUUUGAUUUUUUA